RNAcentral lists this ribosomal RNA (377 nucleotides) under Salmonella enterica subsp. enterica serovar Senftenberg. Its description in RNAcentral is "partial 23S ribosomal RNA". It matches the Rfam family "Bacterial large subunit ribosomal RNA", at positions 815 to 1190 of the family's 2925-position model. The record is from RNAcentral. Lineage: Bacteria; Pseudomonadati; Pseudomonadota; Gammaproteobacteria; Enterobacterales; Enterobacteriaceae. RNAcentral also lists the same sequence under 5 other names.
CUGGGGGUGAAAGGCCAAUCAAACCGGGAGAUAGCUGGUUCUCCCCGAAAGCUAUUUAGGUAGCGCCUCGUGAAUUCAUCUCCGGGGGUAGAGCACUGUUUCGGCUAGGGGGCCAUCCCGGCUUACCAACCCGAUGCAAACUGCGAAUACCGGAGAAUGUUAUCACGGGAGACACACGGCGGGUGCUAACGUCCGUCGUGAAGAGGGAAACAACCCAGACCGCCAGCUAAGGUCCCAAAGUCAUGGUUAAGUGGGAAACGAUGUGGGAAGGCCCAGACAGCCAGGAUGUUGGCUUAGAAGCAGCCAUCAUUUAAAGAAAGCGUAAUAGCUCACUGGUCGAGUCGGCCUGCGCGGAAGAUGUAACGGGGCUAAACCAU